This 503-nucleotide ribosomal RNA is filed under the name methanogenic archaeon F4/B-2. Its description in RNAcentral is "bacterial SSU rRNA". It matches the Rfam family "Archaeal small subunit ribosomal RNA", at positions 44 to 552 of the family's 1478-position model. The record is from RNAcentral. Lineage: Archaea; Methanobacteriati; Methanobacteriota.
AUAAGCCAUGGGAGUCGAAUCUAGCAAUACUUGGCGUACUGCUCAGUAACACGUGGACAAUCUACCCUUGGGUUGGGGAUAAACCCGGGAAACUGGGUAUAAUACCCACUAGAUCUGGGCUGCUGGAAUGCCUCCAGAUUGAAAGCUCCGGCGCCCAAGGAUGAGUCUGCGGCCUAUCAGGUAGUAGUGGGUGUAACGUACCUACUAGCCUACGACGCGUACGGGUUGUGAGAGCAAGAGCCCGGAGAUGGAUUCUGAGACACGUAUCCAGGCCCUACGGGGUGCAGCAGGCGCGAAAACUUUACAAUGCGGGCAACCGCGAUAAGGGGACCUCGAGUGCCAGGAUACAAUUCUGGCUGUCGCGAUGCCUUAAAAGCAUUGCAUAGCAAGGGCCGGGCAAGACCGGUGCCAGCCGCCGCGGUAACACCGGCGGCUCGAGUGGUAACCGCUAUUAUUGGGUCUAAAGGGUCUGUAGCCGGCCGAAUAAGUCUCUUGGGAAAUCG